AUUGAACGCUGGCGGCACGCCUAACACAUGCAAGUCGAACGGCAGCACAGAGGGUAGCAAUACCUUUGGGUGGCGAGUGGCGGACGGGUGAGUAAUGCGUAGGAAUCUACCCUAGAGAUGAGGAUAACUUGGGGAAACUCAAGCUAAUACUGAAUACGCCCUACGGGGUAAAGGUCGCGCAAGCAGUCGCUUUAGGAUGA
Molecule: ribosomal RNA, 200 nt
Filed under: uncultured bacterium
Lineage: Bacteria
Description: partial 16S ribosomal RNA
Rfam family: Bacterial small subunit ribosomal RNA
Source: RNAcentral